RNAcentral lists this ribosomal RNA (518 nucleotides) under uncultured fungus. RNAcentral describes it as "SSU rRNA". It matches the Rfam family "Eukaryotic small subunit ribosomal RNA", at positions 214 to 732 of the family's 1831-position model. The record is from RNAcentral. Lineage: Eukaryota; Fungi.
AUAAAAAACCAAUGCCCUUUUGGGCUCCUUGGUGAUUCAUAAUAACUUAACGAAUCGCAUGGCCUUGCGCCGGCGAUGGUUCAUUCAAAUUUCUGCCCUAUCAACUUUCGAUUGUAAGAUAGAGGCUUACAAUGGUCUUAACGGGUAACGGGGAAUUAGGGUUCUAUUCCGGAGAGGGAGCCUGAGAAACGGCUACCACAUCCAAGGAAGGCAGCAGGCGCGCAAAUUACCCAAUCCCGAUACGGGGAGGUAGUGACAAUAAAUACUGAUACGGGGCUCUUUCGGGUCUCGUAAUUGGAAUGAGUACAAUCUAAAUCCCUUAACGAGGGACAAUUGGAGGGCAAGUCUGGUGCCAGCAGCCGCGGUAAUUCCAGCUCCAAUAGCGUAUAUUAAAGUUGUUGCCGUUAAAAAGCUCGUAGUUGAACCUUGGACCUGGCUGAUCUGUCCUCCUAAUCGAGCGCACGGAUUCGGUCGGGUCUUUCCUUCUGGGGAGCCCCAUGCCCUUCACUGGGUGUGGC